This 301-nucleotide ribosomal RNA is filed under the name uncultured bacterium. Its description in RNAcentral is "partial 16S ribosomal RNA". It matches the Rfam family "Bacterial small subunit ribosomal RNA", at positions 509 to 807 of the family's 1533-position model. The record is from RNAcentral.
CAGCCGCCGCGGUAAUACGGAGGGAGCUAGCGUUGUUCGGAAUUACUGGGCGUAAAGCGCACGUAGGCGGCUUUGUAAGUCAGAGGUGAAAGCCUGGAGCUCAACUCCAGAACUGCCUUUGAGACUGCAUCGCUUGAAUCCAGGAGAGGUGAGUGGAAUUCCGAGUGUAGAGGUGAAAUUCGUAGAUAUUCGGAAGAACACCAGUGGCGAAGGCGGCUCACUGGACUGGUAUUGACGCUGAGGUGCGAAUGCGUGGGGAGCAAACAGGAUUAGAUACCCCCGUAGUCCCUGUCUCUUAUAC